CAGAGAUACUAGAGAACUGACUUGGUGUUACAUGUAAACAAUAGGAAAUCAAAAAAGUUUUGGGAUGAGGAAGACAUGAAGAAAGCAAUUCAGUAUCCCAUACACAUAAAAGAUCAGAGACAGAGUCACUUUUGCUCACUAUGACAAUUCUGAGUGCCCAACACAGUGCCUUGCAGAUAGCAGGCAUUUUACAAAUUAAUUUACAGAUGAAUGUUCUGAGAUGAAAAUCUGGCAGACAUCUAAGCUCUUCACCCACCAAGUGUAUUAGAAUUUCUGGGCUUGGGACCCAACAUCUUGACUUUUGACAAGCGUUCCGUGGUGAUUCUCCUGGCCAUCAACGUUUGAGAACCCAAAUGUAUGAGACAAUAACGACCUGCAGUGGAGGCAAAGGAAGAUUCUGAGCCAUCUGCAGAUAUAAUACACAGAGCUGUUUCUGUGGUGACAGCAGACAUAACCCCAACUGGGGCAUGAUGUCAUCAACUUUAGGGUGAACAGAGAAUUGGCCAAGGCUGAAUUCAGUAACACCUCUACUAUCCAGUCAGUCUCCACAGUUAGCUGGCUUUGAAGAAGCAAGCUCCCAGGAAUCAAGGAGCAGCAAGGAAAUGAAUUCAGACACCAAUGGAGGAAGCCUGGAAGCAAAUUCUUUCCCAGUCGAACCUAGGAGGCUCACCUAGACUGCAGCCUGGUGACAGACCCUGAUGAAGAGGAACCAGCUAAGCUGCCCAGACUCCUGACCCACAGAAGCUGUGAAGUCAUAAACGUGUGCACCGUUUUAUGUCAGUAAAAGCACAUGGCGCCCAAAGGCAGUGCUGAGACGGAGCGGUGGAGAAUUCCUGCAAACAACGGCAGAUGAGGACGGACGAGAUCACGUUGUUAAUGUCAACUGUGAAGAGGCAGCAAAAAGGAGGUAACUAUGGCCUGGGUAUUCCCACUUGUCUUCGAUCUCUGGCUCUUUUCUGUCUAUAAAUGAUGUCCCAAUCUAGUGUGGACUCACAGUCAUUAUAUUUUUUUUCUGCUUUUAACUAGAAACUACAUUUUCUUACCCCAUCAACCUCGUGAUCAUAAAACCUUUUAACACCCUAAGUGUUAAAAAAGGGUUUUAGUUGACAUGCAGUCAGACCUUCCAUUUUCACAUCCUAGCCCCUCUUUGAAUCCUUCCCCUGACAGGAGACUCCCUAGCUCUCGGAAUACUGUAUUCUAAUAUUGGAUAGCUCUAUUAUUUGUAAGUUCUCUUACCGAGGAGAAAUCUGUCUUACUUCCAGUUACUUAGCCUGAGCCCUGUCCUCUCAUAAACCAGAAUUAAAAGAAUUACUUAUCCAUACGGGAACUGUUCAAACAUUUAAAAGGAAACUACCAUACCUCCACCAAAUCUUUCCCUUGCAGCCCUGUGGAUCCGUUCGUUUAUAUUGCACAUUCUGGGUGCUUUUCUUCAAUCCCAGCUUCCAAAGCAUAAAAAUCACAUAUUCACAUAGACCUCAUCAUUCACACUAUCUAAAUUCAAGUGAACUCUCAGUGUUGCCAGACAAUGCAGUCAGUCAUCCGCUUUUAUUUCUUUGCUCUGAGGCAGAUACUGUAAAUGUUCUUCAUUCUCUGUGAUAACCUUACAUUGCCACCUCCAACUCCACAGGCCCUCACUUCACUACACACAGAGCCAUGAUCACAAGUCCCAUCACCCUUCUCUGCUCCAACACUGGCUUAUCCUGCCUCCCUCCAUCCCCCCUUUAAAAAGUCUAAUCCUGCCAUCCUUUCUGUGUCUUCUGGAAUUGUUUCCUCAAUUGUAUCCUCUCAAAUAACUGGGAAGGAAGGAGCUAUGAGGGAAUACUAAUGUUUAUCGACCCUG
Molecule: long non-coding RNA, 1840 nt
Organism: Neofelis nebulosa (Clouded leopard)
Lineage: Eukaryota; Metazoa; Chordata; Mammalia; Carnivora; Felidae
Exons: 4
Source: RefSeq, a predicted model, not a curated record